CCCGAGGAAAAGAAAUCAACCGAGAUUCCCCCAGUAGCGGCGAGCGAACGGGGAGGAGCCCAGAGCCUGAAUCAGCAUGUGUGUUAGUGGAAGCGUCUGGAAAGGUGCGCGAUACAGGGUGACAGCCCCGUACACAAAAGCGCAUGUGCUGUGAGCUCGAUGAGUAGGGCGGGACACGUGGUAUCCUGUCUGAAUAUGGGGGGACCAUCCUCCAAGGCUAAAUACUCCUGACUGACCGAUAGUGAACCAGUACCGUGAGGGAAAGGCGAAAAGAACCCCGGCGAGGGGAGUGAAAAAGAACCUGAAACCGUGUACGUACAAGCAGUGGGAGCACAGGUUUACCUGUGUGACUGCGUACCUUUUGUAUAAUGGGUCAGCGACUUAUAUUCUGUAGCAAGGUUAACCGUAUAGGGGAGCCGUAGGGAAACCGAGUCUUAACCGGGCGUUAAGUUGCAGGGUAUAGACCCGAAACCCGGUGAUCUAGCCAUGGGCAGGUUGAAGGUUGGGUAACACUAACUGGAGGACCGAACCGACUAAUGUUGAAAAAUUAGCGGAUGACCUGUGGCUGGGGGUGAAAGGCCAAUCAAACCGGGAGAUAGCUGGUUCUCCCCGAAAGCUAUUUAGGUAGCGCCUCGUGAAUUCAUCUCCGGGGGUAGAGCACUGUUUCGGCUAGGGGGCCAUCCCGGCUUACCAACCCGAUGCAAACUGCGAAUACCGGAGAAUGUUAUCACGGGAGACACACGGCGGGUGCUAACGUCCGUCGUGAAGAGGGAAACAACCCAGACCGCCAGCUAAGGUCCCAAAGUCAUGGUUAAGUGGGAAACGAUGUGGGAAGGCCCAGACAGCCAGGAUGUUGGCUUAGAAGCAGCCAUCAUUUAAAGAAAGCGUAAUAGCUCACUGGUCGAGUCGGCCUGCGCGGAAGAUGUAACGGGGCUAAACCAUGCACCGAAGCUGCGGCAGCGAACGUAUCACCCAAGACAACUUUACGGAGUUGACGAUUGACGGAGCGAAGCGACGUCAAAGCGUUCAUUAAAGUCGAGUUGGCUUAGGGAUACGUUCGUUGGGUAGGGGAGCGUUCUGUAAGCCUGUGAAGGUGUGUCGUGAGGCAUGCUGGAGGUAUCAGAAGUGCGAAUGCUGACAUAAGUAACGAUAAAGCGGGUGAAAAGCCCGCUCGCCGGAAGACCAAGGGUUCCUGUCCAACGUUAAUCGGGGCAGGGUGAGUCGACCCCUAAGGCGAGGCCGAAAGGCGUAGUCGAUGGGAAACGGGUUAAUAUUCCCGUACUUGGUGUUACUGCGAAGGGGGGACGGAGAAGGCUAUGUUGGCCGGGCGACGGUUGUCCCGGUUUAAGCGUGUAGGUGUGUGUUCCAGGUAAAUCCGGUUCACUUUAACACUGAGGCGUGACGACGAGGCACUACGGUGCUGAAGCAACAAAUGCCCUGCUUCCAGGAAAAGCCUCUAAGCAUCAGGUAACACGAAAUCGUACCCCAAACCGACACAGGUGGUCAGGUAGAGAAUACCAAGGCGCUUGAGAGAACUCGGGUGAAGGAACUAGGCAAAAUGGUGCCGUAACUUCGGGAGAAGGCACGCUGACACGUAGGUGAAGUGAUUUACUCAUGGAGCUGAAGUCAGUCGAAGAUACCAGCUGGCUGCAACUGUUUAUUAAAAACACAGCACUGUGCAAACACGAAAGUGGACGUAUACGGUGUGACGCCUGCCCGGUGCCGGAA
Molecule: ribosomal RNA, 1728 nt
Filed under: Salmonella enterica
Lineage: Bacteria; Pseudomonadati; Pseudomonadota; Gammaproteobacteria; Enterobacterales; Enterobacteriaceae
Description: partial 23S ribosomal RNA
Rfam family: Bacterial large subunit ribosomal RNA
Source: RNAcentral